GCAGAACAUGGCGCAGCUGAUCAGCAAUGCGCGUGUGUGAAGAAGGCCUUGCGGGUUGUAAAGCACUUUCGGUGGGAAAGAAAAGCGUCGGGUGAAUACCCCUGCGUCUUGACGUUACCCACAGAAGAAGCACCGGCUAACUCCGUGCCAGCAGCCGCGGGUUUAAUAGCCUGAUGCAGCAUGCCGCGUGGGGAGAAUGCCUUCGGGUUGUAAAGACUUUCGGUGGGGAGGAAGUGCUUACCAACAAUACCUACCAGCUCGGUCACGGCCUUCGCUGGAAGGCUAC
This 286-nucleotide ribosomal RNA is filed under the name uncultured Thiocystis sp. RNAcentral's name for it is "partial 16S ribosomal RNA". The stretch from base 1 to 184 matches the Rfam family "Bacterial small subunit ribosomal RNA", at positions 356 to 539 of the family's 1533-position model. The record is from RNAcentral. Lineage: Bacteria; Pseudomonadati; Pseudomonadota; Gammaproteobacteria; Chromatiales; Chromatiaceae.